This 1295-nucleotide long non-coding RNA is filed under the name Equus asinus (donkey). RNAcentral describes it as "lncRNA (ENSEASG00005033625.1)". Lineage: Eukaryota; Metazoa; Chordata; Mammalia; Perissodactyla; Equidae. The record is from RNAcentral.
ACGAAACCCGCAAAAACGAAAACGGGUCCCAGAGGAGCAAGACAACACAGGAAGAACACGGCAGCUGCACACAACACGGACGCACCAAGAAAAAAAACCAAAAACACUCCAUGUGAAACCCGUCACCGCGUGAAUUCUUUUGAAAACACUGUUAGUAACACGGAAAAAAAACGAUUAAAGACACCACCAGCGACGGAAGUAAACACCGACUUUUCCUGUGUGAUAUGAAGUAAGGACCUAAUUUUAUUUUAUGGAGCAUUACCUGCAGCAUCCUUGGUGAUUGCAAGAAGCUGGAGACAACCUAAUGUCCAUCACUGGGACAGUGGCAGGUAAAAGGUACUAUCAUACAACAACAGGAAAUAAUGUAUUAGAUGUCACACUGCAUCAAAACUAUAAUGUUUAGUGACAAAAAUGAGAUGUAUGAUACAGUAUCAUUAACAUAACUUUUAAAAUCCACCCACAUACACAAUACCUGCAUACAACAAUACCUGUUUUGCAAGAACAAAAAACAAGAAGAUAUAUAUUAAACACAGUGGAAUGGUUGCUGGGGAGAAGGUGAAUGGAAGAGGGAUAGAUGUAAGAAUAAAAGAGUGAAUGAUAAAUAGAUAAAUGGAUAAAUAAAGCAAGCCUGACACAGACCACUGAUGAUAAUAUGUCAUGAACCCAGGAGCAUGGUCAUCACCUGAGAGCCAAAGAUGAUAGAUAGAUAGAUAGAUAGAUAGAUAGAUAGAUAGAUAGAUAACUGAUAGAUAGAUAGAUAGAUGAGCAGAACUGCUACGAAAGGAGAGAGAGAGAAGGAACGCAAGAAGGAAGAAUGAAAGGAUGGAAGAUAGAAGGAAGGAUGGAAGGCAAAAAAGACUGAGUCGUCAUCAGAGUAUACAGCCUAGGGGAAACUAUUCAUGUGCCCAGAAGGACGUAAAUAAUCAUGAUUCAAGCAGAGGCAGAGAGCGUGAAAGAGGGGUCAGUGCUGAAUGGGAGCUGAAUUUCUUCUAAGGCGUCCUAAACAACACCUUGACUUGCCCUUUAAUAGGCUCUAUCAAGGUCUCCAGAAGCAGCAAGAACCUCCUCACCACAGGGCAGGAUUCAGAGCAAAAGGCAGAUAGCACUAAAAAGAAUAUUAAAAAAAACUAUAACUUGGGGCUGGCCCCAUGGCCGAGUGGUUAAGUUCACGUGCUCCACUGCAGGCGGCCCAGUGUUUCGUUGGUUCCAAUCCUGGGCGCGGACAUGGCACUGCUCAUCAGACCACGCUGAGGCAGCGUCCCACAUGCCACAACUAGAAGGACCCACAACUAAAA